RNAcentral lists this ribosomal RNA (517 nucleotides) under uncultured bacterium. RNAcentral describes it as "partial 16S ribosomal RNA". It matches the Rfam family "Bacterial small subunit ribosomal RNA", at positions 29 to 523 of the family's 1533-position model. The record is from RNAcentral.
AACGAACGCUGGCGGCGUGGAUAAGACAUGCAAGUCGAGCGAGAUUUUUUCUUGUAGCAAUACGAGGAAAAGUCUAGCGGCGAACGGGUGCUUAACACGUGGGCAACCUGCCAAGAAGUGGGGGAUAGCUCGCCGAAAGGCGAAUUAAUACCGCAUGUGAUCAGAGUGGACAUCCAUUCAAAAUUAAAGUCGGGGCAACCUGACGCUUCUUGAGGGGCCCGCGGCCUAUCAGCUAGUUGGUGAGGUAACGGCCCACCAAGGCUUUGACGGGUAGCUAGUCUGAGAGGACGACCAGCCACACUGGGACUGAGACACGGCCCAGACACCUACGGGUGGCAGCAGUCGAGAAUUUUUCUCAAUGGGGGAAACCCUGAAGGAGCGACGCCGCGUGGAGGAUGAAGGUCUUCGGAUUGUAAACUCCUAUCAUUGGGGAACAAUGCGUAAAUAUUAACUGUAUUUGCGUUGAUAGUACCCGAAGAGGAAGAGACGGCUAACUCUGUGCCAGCAGCCGCGGUAA